RNAcentral lists this ribosomal RNA (266 nucleotides) under uncultured bacterium. Its description in RNAcentral is "partial 16S ribosomal RNA". It matches the Rfam family "Bacterial small subunit ribosomal RNA", at positions 793 to 1055 of the family's 1533-position model. The record is from RNAcentral.
GUCCACGCCCUAAACGAUGUCAACUAGUUGUUGGUAGAGUAAAAUCUAUGAGUAACGCAGCUAACGCGUGAAGUUGACCGCCUGGGGAGUACGAUCGCAAGAUUAAAACUCAAAUGAAUUGACGGGGGCCCGCACAAGCGGUGGAUUAUGUGGAUUAAUUCGAUGCAACGCGAAAAACCUUACCUGGCCUUGACAUGUACGGAACUUUCCAGAGAUGGAUUGGUGCUCGAAAGAGAACCGUAACACAGGUGCUGCAUGGCUGUCGU